UCAAUUAGGUCAUAGCAUAUUAUCGUGCUGUGAAACCCUAAUUAUUAAACUCAGUUAUGAGAUAUGACUGAGUAGUGACUGUGUAUAUGAAGUUUACUGUGUAUAAGAUGUCGAUAAUUAGGACAAACCCUAAUUAUUACAACCCUAAUCGGUUGAAGUUAGAGAUCGUAAUGACUGUGUUAGAACAUACACAGAUAAUUAGAGAACCCUAAUGGUCAAUUAGAAACCCUAAUUGAUGGCGUUAAGAAACCCUAAUUAGAAAAUCCUAAUUUUCUAUAGAAAACCCUAAUUUAAAAUUAUCGGGUUUAAUUACGAUGUUAAUGUAUAA
This 328-nucleotide long non-coding RNA is filed under the name Panax ginseng (ginseng). RNAcentral describes it as "long non-coding RNA (PGIN_LNC001286)". Lineage: Eukaryota; Viridiplantae; Streptophyta; Magnoliopsida; Apiales; Araliaceae. The record is from RNAcentral.